This 254-nucleotide ribosomal RNA is filed under the name uncultured bacterium. Its description in RNAcentral is "partial 16S ribosomal RNA". It matches the Rfam family "Bacterial small subunit ribosomal RNA", at positions 524 to 776 of the family's 1533-position model. The record is from RNAcentral.
UACGUAGGAGACGAGCGUUGUCCGGAGUUACUGGGCGUAAAGGGUGCGCAGGUGGCGGCGCGCGUGGGGGGGUGAAAUCGCCCGGCUUAACUGGGCGGGGGCCUUCCAGACGGCGUGGCUUGAGCAGCGGAGGGGGACGUGGAAUUCCGGGUGGAGCGGUGAAAUGCGUAGAUAUCGGAAGGAACAUCAGUGGCGAAAGCGACUUCCUGGACCAGUACCGACGUUCAGGCACGAAAGCGUGGGGAGCAAACAGG